This 1183-nucleotide non-coding RNA is filed under the name Dictyocaulus viviparus (bovine lungworm). RNAcentral describes it as "Eukaryotic large subunit ribosomal RNA". It matches the Rfam family "Eukaryotic large subunit ribosomal RNA", at positions 1068 to 2173 of the family's 3401-position model. The record is from Rfam by way of RNAcentral. Lineage: Eukaryota; Metazoa; Nematoda; Chromadorea; Rhabditida; Metastrongylidae.
AAUGGGUAUGUUGUCGCGGUUUCUUUACGAUACGACGUUGUUGAACUAUUGACAUGAACGUGAGCUCUAAAGUGGGCCAUUUUUGGUAAGCAGAACUGGCGCUGUGGAAUGAACCAAACGUUAGGUUAUGGUGCCAAACUUUUCGCUCAUAAGAUCCCAUAAAAGGCGUUGGUUGAUAUAGACAGCAGGACGGUGGUCAUGGAAGUCGGUAUCCGCUAAGGAGUGUGUAACAACUCACUUGCCGAAUCAACUAGCCUUGAAAAUGGAUGGCGCUUGAGCGAAUGACCUAUACAUAACCAUUGUUGGCAUGUGAAAUGAUUAAUCGAGUACGCCUGGCCACAAUGAGUACGAGGGUCGUAGCGGUUACGUUGAAGGCGUUAGGUGUAGACCUAGCUGGAGCUUCCGUUAGUCUGGUCAGAUCUCGGUGGUAGUAGCAAAUAUUUAAGUUCGAUCCUUGAAGACUGAAGUGGAGAAGGGUUCCACGUGAACAGUAUCAUAUCACUAAGAGAGAAAAGUUACUAUCUUUUCAUUCAGAUAUCGAAAGGGAAUAGGGUUAAUAUUCCCUAACGUAGACACAGAGAUUAUGAUUCGUAUGAAUCAUUUGCGCGGUAAUGCCUCCGAACUUGGUGAACGUCGCUCAAAAACCGAGCUAGAGUUUUCUUCUCUAAUUAAGGAACGGACUUCCUGGAAUCGGUUCAGCCGUAGGUACGGACGUUAUUUCCGUAAAGUAUCGCGGUUUCUGUGAUAUCUCGUGUUUUUUGGACGAUCCAUGAAAAACUAAGUGAGGCUAUUAAUCUGUGCUACAUCGUACCGAUAUCCGCAUCAGGUCUCCAAGGUGAACAGCUUCUAGUCGAUAGAAUAAUGAAGGUAAGGGAAGUCGGCAAAUUUGAUCCGUAACUUCGGAAAAAGGAUUGGCUCCGGUGACCGGGUCGAUUGGCCUGUUAGCUGAUGCUUGUACGGAUUUAUCCAUGACCGAUGUCAAAACGUUAUGUAUACGUGUAUACGUAUACGUAUAUGUGAUGAUAUUGGAUUAGUGAUAAGAGCGUCUUGCGGACAUUUAUAGGUGUGUGCUUUGUUUUCGAAUUAAGUAUCCUGAUCGGCCAUUGUAACGGUCGAACUGGAACUGGUACGGACUCGGGAAAUCCGACUGUCUAAUUAAAACAGAGGAGACAGAUGGUUCUUG